This 253-nucleotide ribosomal RNA is filed under the name uncultured bacterium. RNAcentral's name for it is "partial 16S ribosomal RNA". It matches the Rfam family "Bacterial small subunit ribosomal RNA", at positions 524 to 776 of the family's 1533-position model. The record is from RNAcentral.
GACGGAGGGUGCGAACGUUGUUCGGAAUCACUGGGCAUAAAGAGCACGUAGGCGGUUCGCUAAGUCAGGUGUGAAAGCCCCCGGCUCAACCGGGGAACUGCUCCUGAUACUGGCGAGCUAGAGAACGGUAGGGGUGAGUGGAACUCCAGGUGGAGCGGUGAAAUGCGUAGAUAUCUGGAGGAACACCGGUGGCGAAAGCGGCUCACUGGACCGUCACUGACGCUGAGGUGCGAAAGCUAGGGGAGCGAACGGG